GAAUUGACGGGGGCCCGCACAAGCGGAGGAACAUGUGGUUUAAUUCGAUGAUACGCGAGGAACCUUACCCGGGCUUGAAUUGCAGAUGAAGGAUCCAGAGAUGGUGACGCCCUUCGGGGCAUCUGUGAAGGUGCUGCAUGGUUGUCGUCAGCUCGUGCCGUGAGGUGUCGGCUCAAGUGCCAUAACGAGCGCAACCCCUCUCUUCAGUUGCCAUCAGGUCAAGCUGGGCACUCUGGAGACACUGCCACCGCAAGGUGUGAGGAAGGUGGGGAUGACGUCAAAUCAGCACGGCCCUUACGUCCGGGGCUACACACGUGUUACAAUGGGGGGUACAGAAAGCCGGCUGCCCGCAAGGUCAGUCCAAUCAAGAAAGCCUCCCUCAGUUCGGACUGGGGUCUGCAACCCGACCCCACGAAGCUGGAUUCGCUAGUAAUCGCGCAUCAGCCAUGGCGCGGUGAAUACGUUCCCGGGCCUUGUACACACCG
RNAcentral lists this ribosomal RNA (485 nucleotides) under uncultured Prevotella sp. Its description in RNAcentral is "bacterial SSU rRNA". It matches the Rfam family "Bacterial small subunit ribosomal RNA", at positions 907 to 1392 of the family's 1533-position model. Lineage: Bacteria; Pseudomonadati; Bacteroidota; Bacteroidia; Bacteroidales; Prevotellaceae. The record is from RNAcentral.